Molecule: ribosomal RNA, 406 nt
Filed under: uncultured bacterium
Lineage: Bacteria
Description: partial 16S ribosomal RNA
Rfam family: Bacterial small subunit ribosomal RNA
Source: RNAcentral
AUUGAACGCUGGCGGCAGGCCUAACACAUGCAAGUCGAGCGAGCGGCGGACGGGUGAGUAAUGUCUGGGAAACUGCCUGAUGGAGGGGGAUAACUACUGGAAACGGUAGCUAAUACCGCAUACCCUCGGAUGUGCCCAGAUGGGAGUAGCUAGUAGGUGGGGUAACGGCGCACCUAGGCGAGGAUCCCUAGCUGGUCUGAGAGGAUGACCAGGCACCCUGGAACUGAGACCCGGUCCAGAAUCCUACGUGAGGCAGCAGUGGGGAAUAGUGGAAAAUGGGCGAAAGCCUUAUGCAGCCAUGCCGCGUGUAUGAAGAAGGCCUUAGGGUUGGAAAGCACUUUAAGUUGGGAGGCGUUACCAACAGAAUAAGCACCGGCUAACUUCGUGCCAGCAGCCGCGGUAAUAC